Molecule: long non-coding RNA, 855 nt
Organism: Dreissena polymorpha
Lineage: Eukaryota; Metazoa; Mollusca; Bivalvia; Myida; Dreissenidae
Exons: 3
Source: RefSeq, a predicted model, not a curated record
AGAUUCAGAGCCUCGUUUUAAAUUGAAAGGCCGAAGUUCACCUCGUGUUUCCUGGCGGUGAUUUUCAGCAAACAAUAAAAUUGUUGCUUAAAAGCAGGGUCAAGGUCCAUGAGAUGGAAAGCUCAAAAUAGGAAUGUUUGUUUCAAACCUCUUGAUAUGAAUUGAAUGUUAUUAUUCCCCCCCCAAGUCUAUACUGGGGCUCAUAUUGUGGUGAAAAUCAACUAUGGAUACAGUGCGACCAAUGUGACGGAUGGGUACAUGCAGGUUGCCUAACGGAACGUGUGGAUGAAGAUGAGCCUUUCACCUGUCCAGAUUGCGUUUAGAAAAACCAGAUGAUUCCAUGGUUUUGGCACCAACAAAAAAGGAAAUGGUAUUAAGAAACUCUGUUAUUAAGGGAUACCAUUUUUUCCAAAUAAGACCACCCAAUACCACACCCCCUACUCAGUUACUAGUCCAGCCAGAAUACACUAACAUUCAUGAUGAGUGUGCCAGUUUGGUAUGGUUACCAGAAUUAGAUACUUUUCCAGACCAUAUGCAUUCACUUAUUACGGAUGAAAAGAGGCAGCUAAAACUUCGAGAUGUGGCCGGUCUACCCAUUGGCCAUGUCCCAAGAAAUUUGGCAGGAUUCUUCCGGCCUUUAAUGGAGAGUGGACGCAUUGUAGCAGUGGUGACUGGAGAACCUGUCCCAAGCUUUCCUCCUUGGCCUGCACUAAAGGAAGAAGGAGGGGGUGUAGUGCUUCCAUGUAAUUACAUUAUCACACAUUCUGAUAUUGAGGCACAAUAUAAUAAACUUUCAGAACUGCUCAAAAGUAUCCCUGAAGGGACGGCCAUGGAACUUGUUCUGCUGUAGCUACU